Molecule: ribosomal RNA, 256 nt
Filed under: uncultured archaeon
Lineage: Archaea
Description: partial 16S ribosomal RNA
Rfam family: Bacterial small subunit ribosomal RNA
Source: RNAcentral
UAAUACAGAGGGGGCAAGCGUUGUUCGGAAUUACUGGGCGUAAAGGGCGCGUAGGCGGCCUUCUAAGUCGAACGUGAAAUCCCUAGGCUCAACCUAGGAACUGCGUCCGAUACUGGGAGGCUUGAAUCCGGGAGAGGGAUGCGGAAUUCCAGGUGUAGCGGUGAAAUGCGUAGAUAUCUGGAGGAACACCGGUGGCGAAGGCGGCAUCCUGGACCGGUAUUGACGCUGAGGCGCGAAAGCCAGGGGAGCAAACGGG